Molecule: ribosomal RNA, 394 nt
Filed under: uncultured bacterium
Lineage: Bacteria
Description: bacterial SSU rRNA
Rfam family: Bacterial small subunit ribosomal RNA
Source: RNAcentral
CCUGAGGGAUCCGGUUUUUCCUUUGGGGACCAAAAGACCGGUGGGGCCAGGCCGUUGUCCACUUGUGUUGUGAGAAGGUGGGUUAAGUUCCGCCACGAGCGCCACCCUUGUUGUCCGUUGCCCUCCAUCCAUUGGGCCAUUUGGCGAGGCUGCCGGUGGCCAACCGGAGGAAGGGGGAGAAGGCGUCAAGUCCUCCAUCCCCUUAUGGCCUGGGCUACCCCCGUGGUUCCAUGGGCGAUACCACGAGUCGGGAAAUUGGGAGGUCCAAGUAAUUUUUUAAAGUUGUUUUCCGUUUGGGAUUCCGGGUGCCACUUCCCUGCCUGAAGUUGGAAUCGGUAGUAAUUGUAGAUCAGCCAUGCCGCGGUGAAUACGUUCCCGGGCCUUGUACACACCG